RNAcentral lists this ribosomal RNA (245 nucleotides) under uncultured Oscillospiraceae bacterium. RNAcentral describes it as "partial 16S ribosomal RNA". It matches the Rfam family "Bacterial small subunit ribosomal RNA", at positions 524 to 768 of the family's 1533-position model. The record is from RNAcentral. Lineage: Bacteria; Bacillati; Bacillota; Clostridia; Eubacteriales; Oscillospiraceae.
UACGGAGGGUGCAAGCGUUGUCCGGAAUUACUGGGUGUAAAGGGCGUGUAGGCGGGGAUGUAAGUCAGAUGUGAAAUACCAAGGCUUAACUUUGGGGCUGCAUCUGAAACUAUGUUUCUUGAGUGCUGGAGAGGAAAGCGGAAUUCCUAGUGUAGCGGUGAAAUGCGUAGAUAUUAGGAGGAACACCAGUGGCGAAGGCGGCUUUCUGGACAGUAACUGACGCUGAGGCGCGAAAGCGUGGGGAG